GUGAAGCAAAAUAUUUUUAGCUGUUUAGACACUUCACAAUGUCUUUGUCUGUGAAAUUGGUUCUGCUACUCUGCAUUCAGACCCCAGUGUCCUGUGCUGUGACUCCUGUGUUUGUGAAGAAGGGAGAUGAUGUUCUUCUGAAUGUCACAGAAACUGAUGUUCCUGAGAAAUUUACAGUCCUCAUUUGGAAAUUCAGUACAAAUGAUGUCUUAGUGUCAUUUCUUCCUG
Molecule: long non-coding RNA, 228 nt
Organism: Melanotaenia boesemani (Boeseman's rainbowfish)
Lineage: Eukaryota; Metazoa; Chordata; Actinopteri; Atheriniformes; Melanotaeniidae
Exons: 2
Source: RefSeq, a predicted model, not a curated record